AGUAAAUAGAUACCCAGGUAGUCCACGCCGUAAACGAUGUCGACUUGGAGGUUGUGCCCUUGAGGCGUGGCUUCCGGAGCUAAACGCGUUAAGUCGACCGCCUGGGGAGUACGGCCGCAAGGUUAAAACUCAAAUGAAUUGACGGGGGCCCGCACAAGCGGUGGAGCAUGUGGUUUAAUUCGAUGCAACGCGAAGAACCUUACCUACUCUUGACAUCCAGAGAACUUAGCAGAGAUGCUUUGGUGCCUUCGGGAACUCUGAGACAGGUGCUGCAUGGCUGUCGUCAGCUCGUGUUGUGAAAUGUUGGGUUAAGUCCCGCAACGAGCGCAACCCUUAUCCUUGUUGCCAGCGGUUAGGCCGGGAACUCAAAGGAGACUGCCAGUGAUAAACUGGAGGAAGGUGGGGAUGACGUCAAGUCAUCAUGGCCCUUACGAGUAGGGCUACACACGUGCUACAAUGGCGCAUACAAAGAGAAGCGACCUCGCGAGAGCAAGCGGACCUCAUAAAGUGCGUCGUAGUCCGGAUUGGAGU
This 531-nucleotide ribosomal RNA is filed under the name uncultured bacterium. Its description in RNAcentral is "bacterial SSU rRNA". It matches the Rfam family "Bacterial small subunit ribosomal RNA", at positions 774 to 1304 of the family's 1533-position model. The record is from RNAcentral.